RNAcentral lists this long non-coding RNA (730 nucleotides) under Marmota monax (woodchuck). The record is from RNAcentral. Lineage: Eukaryota; Metazoa; Chordata; Mammalia; Rodentia; Sciuridae.
GAUGAUGGAGAAGAUGGGGAAGCCCCUGACUCAGAUGCAGAGGUGGAUGGUGUGGAUGAAGAAGAGGAGGAUGAAGAAGGAGAAGAUGAGGAAGAGGAGGAGGAUGAGGAUGGUGAGGAGGAAGAGUUUGAUGAAGAAGAUGAAGAUGGGGUCAGCGGGGAGGAAGAAGAAUUUGGGCAUGAUGGAGAAGUAGAUGAAGAUGAAGAAGACGAGGAUGAGGAUGAAGAGGAGGAAGAAAGCAGGAAAGGUGAAAAGAGAAAGAGAGAAACAGAUGAUGAAGGAGAAGAUGAUUAAGACCCCAGAUACACUGCAAAACAGAACUGUUCAGUAUUGGUUGGACUGCUCAUGGAUUUGAUAGCUGUUUAAAAAAGAAAAAAAAAAAAGGUGGCUGCGAUACAAACCCCAGGACGCCCACCCACCCAAAGAGCCAAAGAAUAGUUCCUGUAACAUUCCACCUUCCUCCUUUUAGUCCCUCUUGGUAAUCCACCACCAGGCUUGGGGACUUUGCCCCAACAAAAUUGUAAGCAUUGUUAGGUUUUUUGUGUAAGACUCUUGCUGUAGCAUGGAUAGCUGUGAUUAGGGAGUCAGCUGUCUGUGGCUACCAGUCACACCGAGAUUGUAACAGCAUUUUUACUUUCUGUACAACAAAAAAGCUUUGUAAAUAAAAUCUUAACAUUUUGAAAAAAAAAAAAAUUGAGCUCUGUGGCUCAAUUUCUUUCCUCAGAAGAAC